RNAcentral lists this ribosomal RNA (243 nucleotides) under uncultured bacterium. RNAcentral's name for it is "partial 16S ribosomal RNA". It matches the Rfam family "Bacterial small subunit ribosomal RNA", at positions 524 to 765 of the family's 1533-position model. The record is from RNAcentral.
UACGGAGGGUGCAAGCGUUGUCCGGAUUUAUUGGGUUUAAAGGGUGCGUAGGUGGCCUAUUAAGUCAGUGUUUAAAGUCAACAGCUUAACUGUUGGAAUGGCAUUGAUACUGAUGGGCUUGAGUAAAGUUGAGGUAGGCGGAAUUGAAGGUGUAGCGGUGAAAUGCAUAGAUAUCUUCAAGAACACCAAUUGCGAAGGCAGCUUACUAAGCUUUAACUGAACACUGAGGCACGAAAGCGUGGG